Molecule: long non-coding RNA, 238 nt
Filed under: Manihot esculenta (cassava)
Lineage: Eukaryota; Viridiplantae; Streptophyta; Magnoliopsida; Malpighiales; Euphorbiaceae
Description: long non-coding RNA (MESC_LNC009532)
Source: RNAcentral
UGAUUUUUGAGCAAUGUGGCAUGUUUGAGUAUGCUUGAAGUGUUGUAGUUGGGGUAAUUGAUGUUUUGAGGCCCCUAGGAUCUUGUAUGCAUGUUUUGGUUGAGUGGUAUGCAUGAUUGGUGAGUUUGGAGGCGAAAAUGCACAAAGGAGCCAAGUUUCUGCCCUUUGGCAGAAACCAGGUUCGGCAGCCGAAGGCACUUUCGGCCGCCGAACAUGGCUAGGGAGGCAGGCCUUUCGG